Molecule: ribosomal RNA, 254 nt
Filed under: uncultured bacterium
Lineage: Bacteria
Description: partial 16S ribosomal RNA
Rfam family: Bacterial small subunit ribosomal RNA
Source: RNAcentral
UACGGAGGGGGCGAGCGUUAUUCGGAAUUAUUGGGCGUAAAGGGCGCGUAGGCGGCUGAACAAGUCAAAGGUGAAAUCCCUCGGCUCAACUGAGGAACUGCCUUUGAAACUGUUCGGCUUGAGGCCGGGAGGGGGUAGCGGAAUUCCCAGUGUAGCGGUGAAAUGCGUAGAUAUUGGGGAGGAACACCAGUGGCGAAGGCGGCUACCUGGACCGGUUCUGACGCUGAGGCGCGAAAGCGUGGGUAGCAAACAGG